Molecule: long non-coding RNA, 850 nt
Organism: Haemorhous mexicanus (house finch)
Lineage: Eukaryota; Metazoa; Chordata; Aves; Passeriformes; Fringillidae
Exons: 2
Source: RefSeq, a predicted model, not a curated record
UGGCAGGAGGAGCGGGACUCGUGGCAGGAGGAGCGGGAUCCGUGGCAGGAGGACUCGUAGUCGUGGCAAGACCCGCGGGAGCACAUCGUGCUGGAGUUCUGGCAAAGCUGUUUGGAGCAAGGGAUUGACGUGGUUUCAAGAACAGAAAUGGCGAAGUUGGUCUUACCCUCCUUAGCUGCAGUGAGAAGUUUCUGGAAGCGAAGGCGAGUGACUGCGGAGGACGGGGCUGAGGGACCUUUUAUCCUCUGCCGAGGUUAUUUGGGGUGUGAGGCACCUCCUCACGAUGACACCUUAAUUAAUUCUGCGCUCAAUCCCGCAGAUGUUUGCACUUCCCCUGAUUUUAGGUGUUCCCUCCUUGACGCACCGGGCCCCGUCCCGGCGGUGAUUCCUACGGCAGGGAUUUUGGAAGGGCAGCUCUCUCCCAUUUCCUGGAGACUGACACUGAUGUGACGGGUGUUAAUUAAGGAUGAGGGACACCUGGGAUUGCAUCAGGCACAGAAAAGUCUCAGAAAUGCUGACUCCUGGGGUUGGUCCCCCGUUGGGGGCAGGUGACAGCUCAGGGUUUUAAUUCCCCUGUUGUUGAGUGCCAAGAGGAAAUGGGAUUACUGCCUGCAAUUCCUGGGGAUGGCACAACGCCGGAAAAUCCGGCGGGAUCUCCUCGGCUCCCUGGGCUGGCAAGAAAUAAAAUGUUCCUGAUUCUUCACGUGUCCCUCAACUUGGCAGAUGACUGGGAUGAUCCCAUCAGGUUGUUCCACGUGAAUCACGGGUUAUUAAAGAGAAAAACAUCUGACCCUGAGCUCUGUAUGAGGUUUGAGGAUAUUAAAUUUUCCCGUUCCUUGGUUUGUCUUUC